This 301-nucleotide ribosomal RNA is filed under the name uncultured bacterium. RNAcentral describes it as "partial 16S ribosomal RNA". It matches the Rfam family "Bacterial small subunit ribosomal RNA", at positions 509 to 807 of the family's 1533-position model. The record is from RNAcentral.
CAGCCGCCGCGGUAAUACGGAGGGAGCUAGCGUUGUUCGGAAUUACUGGGCGUAAAGCGCGCGUAGGCGGUUACUCAAGUCAGAGGUGAAAGCCCGGGGCUCAACCCCGGAACUGCCUUUGAAACUAGGUGACUAGAAUCUUGGAGAGGUCAGUGGAAUUCCGAGUGUAGAGGUGAAAUUCGUAGAUAUUCGGAAGAACACCAGUGGCGAAGGCGACUGACUGGACAAGUAUUGACGCUGAGGUGCGAAAGCGUGGGGAGCAAACAGGAUUAGAUACCCGGGUAGUCCCUGUCUCUUAUAC